This 416-nucleotide ribosomal RNA is filed under the name uncultured Paludisphaera sp. Its description in RNAcentral is "bacterial SSU rRNA". It matches the Rfam family "Bacterial small subunit ribosomal RNA", at positions 355 to 774 of the family's 1533-position model. Lineage: Bacteria; Pseudomonadati; Planctomycetota; Planctomycetia; Isosphaerales; Isosphaeraceae. The record is from RNAcentral.
UCGAGAAUCUUCGGCAAUGGGCGCAAGCCUGACCGAGCGACGUCGCGUGGAGGACGAAGGCCUUCGGGUUGUAAACUCCUGUCGAGGGGGAGAAAGGUCGCGCAAGCGGCUUGAUCGAUCCCUGGAGGAAGCACGGGCUAAGUUCGUGCCAGCAGCCGCGGUAAGACGAACCGUGCGAACGUUAUUCGGAAUCACUGGGCUUAAAGCGCGUGUAGGCGGAUUGGUGCGUCGGCGCCUGAAAUCCCCCGGCUCAACCGGGGAACGCGGCCCGAAACGACCAGUCUGGAGGGACGUAGGGGGGACUGGAACUUCCGGUGGAGCGGUGAAAUGCGUUGAGAUCGGAAGGAACGCCCGUGGCGAAAGCGAGUCCCUGGACGUCUACUGACGCUGAGACGCGAAAGCUAGGGGAGCGAACG